UUUCAUUGUGUAUAUUCAGCCUCUCGAGUCAAGUUUCAGACGAUCAUGUAUCCCCUUGAUAUUCACUGGAUGGAAUCCCCUAUUUUACUCAGACUGAACCUUCUACAAACAUCAGAAAAGCAACAGUAAUAAAGAUGGACAGAAAUUCCAAAAAUAAGGUUAGUUCUUGUUUGUUCCGUAUCAUUCUCUUUACCGUUCCUUUUGGUACUAUACUCCAAAAAAGAGGCAAUCGGAAAUAUUUAGGUCCACUGAAAAGUAAUUCUGGAGCUCGCAGAGUUCUCAUUUUUCAGAUUUGUAGUAGUAUUCGCUUUUGGUUUACAUGAUAUUGGCUGUAUCUCCCUGACAACUGCUCUUUGGUUGGUGUAGGUGUUUUUUUAUGGAUGUACCUGGUUGCGAUGAAGCUAAACAAGAAAUAAUGCUAUCACUUAUUACCUUUGUCCUUCAAAUUUGAGUAUAGGCCUGCGAAAUAAUGAAUAUUUGUGUCUCAUUGCUCCAGCAUGGUCAAUAAAGAUAUGUUGACCCAGGAAAUGUGGGUUUAUCAUAGGUCCUACUGUAUACGUUGAUAUAUGAAAUAUGACAUUUACGGUUAUAUGCUAUCACUUAUUGCCUUUGUCCUUUGCAUUGAGUAUAGGCCUGUGAAAUAAUGGUGUAUUUGUGUGUUGAUUCGUCUGUUUUCCUUCAUGUUCUGGUUCUAAGGUACCAGCACAGACCCAGAGUUAUUUGCAAAAAAAUGCGUUCCAAUGUACCAAUAUUUUGUAUCCUUUCUAAUGCUUAAAAAAGAGGCGAAUAAUUAUUUUAUAAUAUGUAAUAUAUGACAUGUGUAACGCACCUUAAGAGACUACUAAGUUAUCCUGUAUAAUUGGCACGCCCUACUUUUGUAGUAAUAAAUAUAUCAGGUGCUGCUCCAUACAGGUGAUACAUUGCAUUUACCAUAGUAUUUGAUUACAUAUGAUAACAUAAAAUCUGUUUUUUCCUUAGCGGUUCGGCACAUUAGUGCAUAGAAACAGAGUACAGGCAAAUUGAUUAGAUGCAUUAGUUAAGAACACUGAUUUUUUUGGAAAGCUUCAUCAUGACAUCGAUAUUGGUUUCGCCUUACUACCACUCCGAGGUUGGAUGGAGCAUCGAGGAUUUCAGGCUUGGGGUGGCCACGUGUUGCAGGAUAGCAGGAAGAGUUGGAUGUGUUCUGCAGAGACGAGGUGAUCAAUGUCGUUGCCGCCAGGUAGCUGAAGUACAAAACUUCUAAAUUUGCUCAUUUAUUUAUCCUCAUAGUUGGUUCCCUUGAUACUUUUUCUUAGAAACAUGAUCAAAGAUACAAAAAGUUUUACUUCUGAAGCAGAAGUGGUAGUAUAGUGUGCAUGUCGUAUUGCAAGUAGAUUUUAUAGAUACCAAUAGAAAUAAUAACUUGGGAUUUAUUUCUGUUCAACCUCUGUGAUCUAGAUGAGCAAAGCAACAACUUUGGCUUUAUUUCUUUGUGAUGUAGAUGAGAAAAAUAGUACCUUGGAUUUUAAUUCUGUUCUCUAUGAUGUAGAUUAGCAAGAUUUCUAACCAACAAAGUAAUUUAUUUUAGUAUGGUUUUGUCACUAUGAUUGGUAAUAUGAAGUUUAUUUAUUCUAGGUUCCUAUCUUUAGACAGUCACAUCCACGUUCGUACUUUUAGAAUAGUUGUUGCAACGGGGAAGAGCAUUUUUGCAAUAGCAAGAUAUCAGGACCCAAUGGGCAUAGGCCGAACCAACCACCAUCACUAUUAUUUCAGGAUUAGAUAGCCAACUUCCACUCAUGAGGUGAGUUUGCUUACUCUACUUUCAGUGUACUGUGCAGAUAUGUUGGUUAGAAAUUUUGCUAUGUGCCUGUCAAGUUGAUUAGAUAUGAAAAAUAUGCUCUAUAAUACCCACAUAAUACUUGUUUAAAUUGGCUUUUCCCUGGUUCAUCAGUGCACACAUGAAACCGGUAAUAAGAAGAGAAUCACCUGAUUUUUUUAUAGUCUAUUUUAGUAAGCAUGUUCAUAAUAUUAGGAUAGUUUAAUUUGAGAACAAUUGGCUCGAGGAACGAUGUAAUUUGAUACUCUGUUAUGUUGAUCUCCAGAGAAAUUUGGUUUUUGGUUUUUCAUUGAUGUACGUUAAUCUGUUGUGAAUCUUGUUUGCUUGCACCAAUUAUAUGUGUAACAAUUAGAGGGGAAAUUUUGGAACUCAUACAUUCUAUUUCAGUUAAUGUUCAAAGCAACUUUCCUGUGUGAAUCUGAUAAUCUUACUAAAACCUGUGUUUCAUUGUGUAUAUUCAGCCUGUCGAGUCAAGUUUCAGACGAUCAUGUAUCCCCUUGAUAUUCACUGGAUGGAAUCCCCGGUUUUACUCAGACUGAACCUUCUACAAACAUCGGAAAAGCAACAGUAAUAAAGAUGGACAGAAAUUCCAAAAAUAAGGUUAGUUCUUCUUUGUUCCGUAUCAUUCUCUUUACCGUUCC
RNAcentral lists this long non-coding RNA (2457 nucleotides) under Triticum aestivum (bread wheat). RNAcentral describes it as "long non-coding RNA (TAES_LNC012419)". Lineage: Eukaryota; Viridiplantae; Streptophyta; Magnoliopsida; Poales; Poaceae. The record is from RNAcentral.